RNAcentral lists this long non-coding RNA (421 nucleotides) under Trifolium pratense (red clover). RNAcentral describes it as "long non-coding RNA (TPRA_LNC005380)". Lineage: Eukaryota; Viridiplantae; Streptophyta; Magnoliopsida; Fabales; Fabaceae. The record is from RNAcentral.
ACACAUUCCUACUGUUAAAGGUGUUUUGGAAAGAUAAUUCAACAACUAUGAUAUACUGUUAUAGUUUUCUUGUUUUGAGUUGUGUUAUGUUCUGGUAUAGUUGCUACUGCUAUAGUUGCUACUGCUAUAUGUGAUGUUCUGAGGAUUUUGGUAGCCAUGUUAGAUAGUGAUUUUCUGAUAUAGCUUGCAAGAAUAAAAAAACCAAACCUUUUAUGUAGUUUUCAACAGUGUGAAUAUUUUUUAUUUUAUGUGCAUUUGGUUAUUUGAACUCAAUGGGAUUCAGAGAUUGUGAUUGAUGAAGAAUCCCAACAGACAUCUUUUUAGUUGAACAAAAAUAAGACAACAAAAAUCUGUUGAUAGUGUGUUUGAGAGAGUCAAUACUUUGUUGCCAUCUCUAAGGACCCGUUUAGUUCUAUUGAUC